AUCGAGUCUUUGAACGCAAGYUGCGCCCGAAGCCUUUAGGCCGAGGGCACGCCUGCCUGGGCGUCACA
Molecule: ribosomal RNA, 68 nt
Filed under: Amelanchier intermedia
Lineage: Eukaryota; Viridiplantae; Streptophyta; Magnoliopsida; Rosales; Rosaceae
Description: partial 5.8S ribosomal RNA
Source: RNAcentral